Molecule: ribosomal RNA, 237 nt
Filed under: uncultured bacterium
Lineage: Bacteria
Description: partial 16S ribosomal RNA
Rfam family: Bacterial small subunit ribosomal RNA
Source: RNAcentral
UGGGUAACCUGCCUCAAAGAGGGGAAUAGCCUCCCGAAAGGGAGAUUAAUACCGCAUAAUAUGUUUAAGUCGCAUGACUUUAACAUCAAAGGAUUUUCUUUUAGAACUUCCACUUUGAGAUGGACCCGCGGCGCAUUAGCUAGUUGGUGAGGUAACGGCUCACCAAGGCAACGAUGCGUAGCCGACCUGAGAGGUGAUCGGCCACAUUGGAACUGAGACACGGUCCAGACUCCUAGG